AACGAACGCUGGCGGCAUGCCUAACACAUGCAAGUCGAACGAACCCUUCGGGGUUAGUGGCGCGCGGGUGCGUAACGCGUGGGAAUCUGCCCUUUGCUUCGGAAUAACAGUUAGAAAUGACUGCUAAUACCGGAUGAUGUCUUCGGACCAAAGAUUUAUCGGCAAAGGAUGAGCCCGCGUAGGAUUAGGUAGUUGGUGGGGUAAAGGCCUACCAAGCCGACGAUCCUUAGCUGGUCUGAGAGGAUGAUCAGCCACACUGGGACUGAGACACGGCCCAGACUCCUACGGGAGGCAGCAGUGGGGAAUAUUGGACAAUGGGCGCAAGCCCUGAUCCAGCAAUGCCGCGUGAGUGAUGAAAGGGCCCUUUCGGGUUCGUAAAAGCUUCUUUUA
RNAcentral lists this ribosomal RNA (390 nucleotides) under Sphingomonas sp. oral taxon A66. RNAcentral's name for it is "bacterial SSU rRNA". It matches the Rfam family "Bacterial small subunit ribosomal RNA", at positions 29 to 439 of the family's 1533-position model. Lineage: Bacteria; Pseudomonadati; Pseudomonadota; Alphaproteobacteria; Sphingomonadales; Sphingomonadaceae. The record is from RNAcentral.